GAAAUGCGAUAAGUAAUGUGAAUUGCAGAAUUCAGUGAAUCAUCGAAUCUUUGAACGCACAUUGCGCCCGCCAGUAUUCUGGCGGGCAUGCCUGUUCGAGCGUCAUUUCAACCAUCAAGCCCCGGGCUUGUGUUGGGGACCUGCGGCUGCCGCAGGCCCUGAAAAACAGUGGCGGGCUCGCUGUCACACCGAGCGUAGUAGAUUCUCAUCUCGCUCAGGGCGUGCUGCGGGUUCCGGCCGUAAAACAGACUUAUUUUACCCAAGGUUGACCUCGGAUCAGGUAGGAAGACCCGCUGAACUUAAGC
This 305-nucleotide unclassified non-coding RNA is filed under the name plant metagenome. RNAcentral describes it as "partial contains 5.8S ribosomal RNA, internal transcribed spacer 2, and large subunit ribosomal RNA". The stretch from base 1 to 105 matches the Rfam family "5.8S ribosomal RNA", at positions 50 to 154 of the family's 154-position model. The record is from RNAcentral.